RNAcentral lists this ribosomal RNA (934 nucleotides) under uncultured bacterium. RNAcentral describes it as "bacterial SSU rRNA". It matches the Rfam family "Bacterial small subunit ribosomal RNA", at positions 460 to 1397 of the family's 1533-position model. The record is from RNAcentral.
UGUCCUCCUUUGCAUGUACCUUGCGAAUAAGGAUCGGCUAACUCCGUGCCAGCAGCCGCGGUAAUACGGAGGAUCCGAGCGUUAUCCGGAUUUAUUGGGUUUAAAGGGUGCGCAGGCGGGAUGUUAAGUCGGCGGUGAAAUUUUGCAGCUCAACUGUAAAAGUGCUUUCGAUACUGGCUUUCUUGAGUGUGGAUGAAGUAGGCGGAAUUUGUGGUGUAGCGGUGAAAUGCUUAGAUAUCACGAGGAACUCCGAUUGCGCAGGCAGCUUACUAAACCACUACUGACGCUCAUGCACGAAGGCGUGUGGAUCAAACAGGAUUAGAUACCCUGGUAGUCCACGCAGUAAACGAUGAUUACUAGUUGUUUGCGAUACAAUGUAAGCGACUGAGCGAAAGCGUUAAGUAAUCCACCUGGGGAGUACGUUCGCAAGAAUGAAACUCAAAGGAAUUGACGGGGGCCCGCACAAGCGGAGGAACAUGUGGUUUAAUUCGAUGAUACGCGAGGAACCUUACCCGGGCUUGAAAUGCGGCGGACCGGCAGAGAGAUCUGCCUUCCCUUCGGGGCCGCCGUGUAGGUGCUGCAUGGUUGUCGUCAGCUCGUGCCGUGAGGUGUCGGCUUAAGUGCCAUAACGAGCGCAACCCUCAUCAUUAGUUACUAACAGGUCAUGCUGAGGACUCUAGUGAGACUGCCAUCGUAAGAUGCGAGGAAGGUGGGGAUGACGUCAAAUCAGCACGGCCCUUACGUCCGGGGCGACACACGUGUUACAAUGGGUGGUACAAAGGGCAGCUACCUGGCGACAGGAUGCUAAUCUCCAAAACCACUCUCAGUUCGGAUCGGAGUCUGCAACUCGACUCCGCGAAGCUGGAUUCGCUAGUAAUCGCGCAUCAGCCACGGCGCGGUGAAUACGUUCCCGGGCCUUGUACACACCGCCCGU